GGGCUUCUUUCCGAGUUCUCUCCCCUGGCUAAUCUGGAGGCUGACCAUCAGCACCCCAGAAGUCAGCCUGAGAGUGUCCCCGUGUCCUCGGCAGCACCCAGUGGGUGACUUUCCUAGUGGUUCCUGCUCUGUGUCUAAGCAUGCACAAGCCCAGCUGAGGCCGUAGGUGCUGCAUCUAGCGGGUUUAGGACACUCCAACCCUGCCUCCUACUCCCCUGACACCCCGGGAUCACCUGAUGCAUGCUCUCCACACAGGCCACGAGGUCAUCACUCUCUCCCAACAGCCAUCCCAGCAGGAUGGGCAGUCCAGGGGCCAACUGGUCCCACUGCUGGAGCAGAUCACACAGGACGGCCAGGGCCAGGGCCAGAGCGAUGGAGGCAUCCACCUGGCAGAAGGCAAACUCUGCAAAGACAGGAGAAAGUGUCACCAGAAGGAUCAGGAAGGCUUCCCUGUCCAGUGUCUCCUCUGCACAUCUGCCUGGAUUUGACUGGUUUGUCCUUUCCUUGGAAAGCAGAUCUCUUGGGCACAAGACACAUCCUAGAGCAGGGCAUCGGCAAGCUUUUCCUUAAAGG
This 573-nucleotide long non-coding RNA is filed under the name Pan troglodytes (chimpanzee). RNAcentral's name for it is "long non-coding RNA NONPTRT010089". Lineage: Eukaryota; Metazoa; Chordata; Mammalia; Primates; Hominidae. The record is from RNAcentral.